GUCCAAGCUACCAAGGGUCAUCGGUGGAUGCCUUGGCGCCAGGAGCCGACGAAGGACGUGGCAGGCUGCGAAAAGCCCCGGCGAGCUGUCAAGCAAGCUCCGACCCGGGGAUGUCCGAAUGGGGAAACCUGGCUGGGGUCAUGCCCAGUCACUCCGGUCUGAACACAUAGGACCGGCAGAGGGAACCGGUGGAACUGAAACAUCUAAGUACUCCGAGGAAGAGAAAGCAAUAGCGAAUCCCUGAGUAGCGGCGAGCGAAACGGGACCAGCCCAAACCUCCGCAGUGUAUAAAGCCCGACGGCGUUGCUGCGGGGGGGUUGCGGGACCCGCUGGAUGGUGCGUCGGCACUGUCACAGAGUUACAAAGGCGACGAUCAGCCGAACCCGGAUGGAAAGCCGGGCCGCAGACGGUAACAGCCCCGUAGGCGAAGGUCGUUGCUCUCUGAGCGGUGUUCCCAAGUAUCACGGAGGAUAUUCCGUGUGAAUCCGCGAGGACCACCUCGUAAGGCUAAACACUUCCUGGCGACCGAUAGUGAACUAGUACCGUGAGGGAAAGGUGAAAAGCACCCCGGUGAGGGGAGUGAAAUAGUACCUGAAACCGUUGACCUACAAGCAGUGGGAGGAGUUCUUUUAGAACUCUGACCGCCUGCCUUUUGAAGAAUGAGCCGGCGAGUUAGUGGUAUGUGGCAAGGUUAAGGUAGUUGUACCGGAGCCGAAGCGAAAGCGAGUCUGAACAGGGCGCCACAGUCGCAUGCCCUAGACCCGAAUCCGGGCGAGCUAUCCAUGGGCAGGGUGAAGCGAAGGUAAGACUUCGUGGAGGCCCGAACCCACCAAGGUUGAAAACUUGGGGGAUGACCUGUGGAUAGGGGUGAAAGGCCAAUCAAGCCCGGUGAUAGCUGGUUCUCCCCGAAAUAGCUUUAGGGCUAGCGUUACGCGUUUCGCGAUGGGGGUAGAGCACUGAUUGAACUAGGGGGCCCACAAGCCUACCAACUUCAGUCAAACUCCGAAUCUCAUUGCGUGAGAGCGUGGCAGUCAGUCUACGGGGGAUGAGCUUCGUGGACGCGAGGGAAACAGCCCAGAUCGCCAGCUAAGGUCCCUAAGUCUGAGCUAAGUGGGAAACGAUGUGGAGUUGCACAAACAGCCAGGAGGUUGGCUUAGAAGCAGCCA
Molecule: ribosomal RNA, 1166 nt
Filed under: Actinomycetes bacterium
Lineage: Bacteria; Bacillati; Actinomycetota; Actinomycetes
Description: partial 23S ribosomal RNA
Rfam family: Bacterial large subunit ribosomal RNA
Source: RNAcentral